UACGUAGGGUGCGAGCGUUGUCCGGAAUUACUGGGCGUAAAGAGCUCGUAGGUGGUUUGUCGCGUUGUUCGUGAAAACUCACAGCUUAACUGUGGGCGUGCGGGCGAUACGGGCAGACUGGAGUACUGCAGGGGAGACUGGAAUUCCUGGUGUAGCGGUGGAAUGCGCAGAUAUCAGGAGGAACACCGGUGGCGAAGGCGGCAUCCUGGACCAACACUGACGCUGAGGAGCGAAAGCCAGGGGAGCAAACGGG
RNAcentral lists this ribosomal RNA (253 nucleotides) under uncultured bacterium. RNAcentral describes it as "partial 16S ribosomal RNA". It matches the Rfam family "Bacterial small subunit ribosomal RNA", at positions 524 to 776 of the family's 1533-position model. The record is from RNAcentral.